UUAAGCGACUAAGCGUACACGGUGGAUGCCCUGGCAGUCAGAGGCGAUGAAGGACGUGCUAAUCUGCGAUAAGCGUCGGUAAGGUGAUAUGAACCGUUAUAACCGGCGAUUUCCGAAUGGGGAAACCCAGUGUGAUUCGUCACACUAUCAUUAACUGAAUCCAUAGGUUAAUGAGGCGAACCGGGGGAACUGAAACAUCUAAGUACCCCGAGGAAAAGAAAUCAACCGAGAUUCCCCCAGUAGCGGCGAGCGAACGGGGAGCAGCCCAGAGCCUGAAUCAGUAUGUGUGUUAGUGGAAGCGUCUGGAAAGGCGCGCGAUACAGGGUGACAGCCCCGUACACAAAAAUGCACAUGCUGUGAGCUCGAUGAGUAGGGCGGGACACGUGGUAUCCUGUCUGAAUAUGGGGGGACCAUCCUCCAAGGCUAAAUACUCCUGACUGACCGAUAGUGAACCAGUACCGUGAGGGAAAGGCGAAAAGAACCCCGGCGAGGGGAGUGAAAAAGAACCUGAAACCGUGUACGUACAAGCAGUGGGAGCACAGAGCAAUCUGUGUGACUGCGUACCUUUUGUAUAAUGGGUCAGCGACUUAUAUUCUGUAGCAAGGUUAACCGAAUAGGGGAGCCGAAGGGAAACCGAGUCUUAACUGGGCGUUAAGUUGCAGGGUAUAGACCCGAAACCCGGUGAUCUAGCCAUGGGCAGGUUGAAGGUUGGGUAACACUAACUGGAGGACCGAACCGACUAAUGUUGAAAAAUUAGCGGAUGACUUGUGGCUGGGGGUGAAAGGCCAAUCAAACCGGGAGAUAGCUGGUUCUCCCCGAAAGCUAUUUAGGUAGCGCCUCGUGAAUUCAUCUCCGGGGGUAGAGCACUGUUUCGGCAAGGGGGUCAUCCCGACUUACCAACCCGAUGCAAACUGCGAAUACCGGAGAAUGUUAUCACGGGAGACACACGGCGGGUGCUAACGUCCGUCGUGAAGAGGGAAACAACCCAGACCGCCAGCUAAGGUCCCAAAGUCAUGGUUAAGUGGGAAACGAUGUGGGAAGGCCCAGACAGCCAGGAUGUUGGCUUAGAAGCAGCCAUCAUUUAAAGAAAGCGUAAUAGCUCACUGGUCGAGUCGGCCUGCGCGGAAGAUGUAACGGGGCUAAACCAUGCACCGAAGCUGCGGCAGCGACGCUGAUGCGUUGUUGGGUAGGGGAGCGUUCUGUAAGCCUGUGAAGGUGUGCUGUGAGGCAUGCUGGAGGUAUCAGAAGUGCGAAUGCUGACAUAAGUAACGAUAAAGCGGGUGAAAAGCCCGCUCGCCGGAAGACCAAGGGUUCCUGUCCAACGUUAAUCGGGGCAGGGUGAGUCGACCCCUAAGGCGAGGCCGAAAGGCGUAGUCGAUGGGAAACAGGUUAAUAUUCCUGUACUUGGUGUUACUGCGAAGGGGGGACGGAGAAGGCUAUGUUGGCCGGGCGACGGUUGUCCCGGUUUAAGCGUGUAGGCUGGUUUUCCAGGCAAAUCCGGAAAACUAAGGCUGAGGCGUGAUGACGAGGCACUACGGUGCUGAAGCAACAAAUGCCCUGCUUCCAGGAAAAGCCUCUAAGCAUCAGGUAACAUCAAAUCGUACCCCAAACCGACACAGGUGGUCAGGUAGAGAAUACCAAGGCGCUUGAGAGAACUCGGGUGAAGGAACUAGGCAAAAUGGUGCCGUAACUUCGGGAGAAGGCACGCUGAUAUGUAGGUGAAGUCCCUCGCGGAUGGAGCUGAAAUCAGUCGAAGAUACCAGCUGGCUGCAACUGUUUAUUAAAAACACAGCACUGUGCAAACACGAAAGUGGACGUAUACGGUGUGACGCCUGCCCGGUGCCGGAAGGUUAAUUGAUGGGGUCAGCGCAAGCGAAGCUCUUGAUCGAAGCCCCGGUAAACGGCGGCCGUAACUAUAACGGUCCUAAGGUAGCGAAAUUCCUUGUCGGGUAAGUUCCGACCUGCACGAAUGGCGUAAUGAUGGCCAGGCUGUCUCCACCCGAGACUCAGUGAAAUUGAACUCGCUGUGAAGAUGCAGUGUACCCGCGGCAAGACGGAAAGACCCCGUGAACCUUUACUAUAGCUUGACACUGAACAUUGAGCCUUGAUGUGUAGGAUAGGUGGGAGGCUUUGAAGUGUGGACGCCAGUCUGCAUGGAGCCGACCUUGAAAUACCACCCUUUAAUGUUUGAUGUUCUAACGUUGACCCGUAAUCCGGGUUGCGGACAGUGUCUGGUGGGUAGUUUGACUGGGGCGGUCUCCUCCUAAAGAGUAACGGAGGAGCACGAAGGUUGGCUAAUCCUGGUCGGACAUCAGGAGGUUAGUGCAAUGGCAUAAGCCAGCUUGACUGCGAGCGUGACGGCGCGAGCAGGUGCGAAAGCAGGUCAUAGUGAUCCGGUGGUUCUGAAUGGAAGGGCCAUCGCUCAACGGAUAAAAGGUACUCCGGGGAUAACAGGCUGAUACCGCCCAAGAGUUCAUAUCGACGGCGGUGUUUGGCACCUCGAUGUCGGCUCAUCACAUCCUGGGGCUGAAGUAGGUCCCAAGGGUAUGGCUGUUCGCCAUUUAAAGUGGUACGCGAGCUGGGUUUAGAACGUCGUGAGACAGUUCGGUCCCUAUCUGCCGUGGGCGCUGGAGAACUGAGGGGGGCUGCUCCUAGUACGAGAGGACCGGAGUGGACGCAUCACUGGUGUUCGGGUUGUCAUGCCAAUGGCACUGCCCGGUAGCUAAAUGCGGAAGAGAUAAGUGCUGAAAGCAUCUAAGCACGAAACUUGCCCCGAGAUGAGUUCUCCCUGACUCCUUGAGAGUCCUGAAGGAACGUUGAAGACGACGACGUUGAUAGGCCGGAUGUGUAAGCGCAGCGAUGCGUUGAGCUAACCGGUACUAAUGAACCGUGAGGCUUAACCUU
This 2904-nucleotide ribosomal RNA is filed under the name Escherichia coli. Its description in RNAcentral is "bacterial LSU rRNA". It matches the Rfam family "Bacterial large subunit ribosomal RNA". RNAcentral also lists the same sequence under 1 other name. The record is from RNAcentral. Lineage: Bacteria; Pseudomonadati; Pseudomonadota; Gammaproteobacteria; Enterobacterales; Enterobacteriaceae.